UGGGGAAUAUUGGACAAUGGGCGGAAGCCUGAUCCAGCCAUGCCGCGUGUGUGAAGAAGGCCUUUUGGUUGUAAAGCACUUUAAGCGAGGAGGAGGCUACUUGGAUUAAUACUCUAGGAUAGUGGACGUUACUCGCAGAAUAAGCACCGGCUAACGCUGUGCCAGCAGCCGCGGUAAUACAGAGGGUGCGAGCGUUAAUCGGAUUUACUGGGCGUAAAGCGUGCGUAGGCGGCUUCUUAAGUCGGAUGUGAAAUCCCUGAGCUUAACUUAGGAAUUGCAUUCGAUACUGGGAAGCUAGAGUAUGGGAGAGGAUGGUAGAAUUCCAGGUGUAGCGGUGAAAUGCGUAGAGAUCUGGAGGAAUACCGAUGGCGAAGGCAGCCAUCUGGCCUAAUACUGACGCUGAGGUACGAAAGCAUGGGGAGCAAACAGG
This 430-nucleotide ribosomal RNA is filed under the name bacterium. Its description in RNAcentral is "partial 16S ribosomal RNA". It matches the Rfam family "Bacterial small subunit ribosomal RNA", at positions 355 to 776 of the family's 1533-position model. The record is from RNAcentral.